CUAGUACUCCCUCCGUCUGGAAAUACUUGUCUUCGAAAUGGAUAAAAUUGAUGUAUCUAUAAGUAAAAUAAGUCUAGAUACAACCAUUUCAAGGACAAGUAUUUCCGGACGGAGGGAGUAUCAG
Non-coding RNA from Triticum urartu, 124 nucleotides. Lineage: Eukaryota; Viridiplantae; Streptophyta; Magnoliopsida; Poales; Poaceae. The record is from Rfam.